CCAGAAAGAGAGUACUGGAAGGGCGAUUCUGGAUCUCAGAAGUAACUUUGACACCAACCCUCACUACUUACCGCUCUGAAAUGGGAAAGACAGUGAUGUAGGUGUUACUGGUUGUGCGGAUGGAAUUACAGGGUGCUGUGAAGGAGGCGGGGCACUCAGUGUUUGUUGUUUCUUUGUUUCUGUUGAUGCUGCCUAUUAGUUCAAACUGCACCAUUUUGUGAGCCCCGCCCCAUUUUGCAGACCCUGGUCAAACAGAAACAUUCCACGGGCGUCGGGCCACGAGAAACAUCCUGUCCAACCACCUGACUUUCUUAUCAUCCCCUGCUGGGCAAAGCCCUGCCCGGCAAAGCCCCCAGCUGAAGGAUCAUCCUCAUCAGAUCCUGCUGAGCAAAGAUCCAAGGAACAUUCUAUCACAUCCCCCAAAAAACAGGGCCACACCACCUUGCCUUGGAACAUCUUAUCAACAUCUUCCUGGGAAGCAGGCCAUACCCACCAGGCCCCUCCCGCCCAGGCCUAUAAUUACCCCAGCCUGUAAGCCGAGGUCAGCACUGGCAUUCACCUGGUCCCCCAUCUCUGCAGGUCUUAGGCUGGACAUAGAACCUGAAUCGCUGGAGAGCUGCCAAUUCUCUCUUUCUUUUACCAUCGCCUUCCCUUCCAAACCUAACACUGGACAGAUCCUUGAAACAUGAACAUUCUGGAAACCAAGAAGCUGCCAGGACCCUCACCUGCUUAGCUGGUUUCAUCACCAGCACUGCAGAAAUGCACAAUUAAUUCCUUACUUUAAAAAUGCUCGGUGGAGAGGAGACCACUGGGGAGUAAAAUGCGUGUGAGCAGCAGCGGAGAUGGGCACAGACCAGAAGAGGAAGGAGUGAAGGAUUCUCAUCUCAUGGGCUGUGGAGGCUUCCAGGAAGACCACUUGUUCCAGAGAGAUGACUGUUGCUACACUUCAUAGAGAAUGAAGGGAACAGUGCUAAGAGCCAAGAAUGACAUCUCCAGCUCUAGGUAUUCCACACAACAGAUCCAGGUCAGAGUCUGUCACAAGGAAGCUCUUGGCCGGCCUGCCAAGGAGGAGGAAACGCAAAGCUAUCGCUCCGCCUGCAUUCUCUGUGAGGGAGUCUCCUACAGCACUGUUAUCUGUGGCACAGGUGGGCCAUUUCCACGUAUCCCAAAGCUUCUCCUGUGGAGCCUGGAUUUUGCCCUAAAGGUAAUUUUCUGCAAUAUAGCUUCAUUUUUGAGUGGUAUUUGAAGGCAAAAUAACUAUAAGACUCUGGAAGUUUGAAAAAUCGAUGAAGAAAUCGUGCAGACAGAACACACCACUUGAAGAGCUCCCUAACAUCCCUUCCCCACCGCCCACCUCCCCAGCAAAUCCCUUUCCCACUUUGGAAAGUAAAACAAACCUUCAUUCAAUGAC
RNAcentral lists this long non-coding RNA (1411 nucleotides) under Macaca mulatta (Rhesus monkey). RNAcentral describes it as "lncRNA (ENSMMUG00000060126.1)". The record is from RNAcentral. Lineage: Eukaryota; Metazoa; Chordata; Mammalia; Primates; Cercopithecidae.